AUCUUAGAGAUAAGACGUUCCCUUCGGGGACAGAAUGACAGGUGGUGCAUGGUUGUCGUCAGCUCGUGUCGUGAGAUGUUGGGUUAAGUCCCGCAACGAGCGCAACCCUUAUUAUCAGUUGCCAGCAUUAAGUUGGGCACUCUGGUGAGACUGCCGGUGACAAACCGGAGGAAGGUGGGGAUGACGUCAAAUCAUCAUGCCCCUUAUGACCUGGGCUACACACGUGCUACAAUGGAUGGUACAACGAGUUGCGAACUCGCGAGAGUAAGCUAAUCUCUUAAAGCCAUUCUCAGUUCGGAUUGUAGGCUGCAACUCGCCUACAUGAAGUCGGAAUCGCUAGUAAUCGCGGAUCAGCAUGCCGCGGUGAAUACGUUCCCGGGUCUUGUACACACCGA
This 395-nucleotide ribosomal RNA is filed under the name uncultured bacterium. Its description in RNAcentral is "bacterial SSU rRNA". It matches the Rfam family "Bacterial small subunit ribosomal RNA", at positions 997 to 1393 of the family's 1533-position model. The record is from RNAcentral.